RNAcentral lists this ribosomal RNA (1809 nucleotides) under human gut metagenome. RNAcentral's name for it is "bacterial LSU rRNA". It matches the Rfam family "Bacterial large subunit ribosomal RNA", at positions 1098 to 2925 of the family's 2925-position model. The record is from RNAcentral.
AGGUUGGCUCAGAAGCAGCCAUCCUUUAAAGAGUGCGUAACAGCUCACUAGUCGAAUGACUCUGCGCCGAUAAUUUACCGGGGCUAAGCAUACUACCGAAGCUAUGGAUCCCAAGGGAUGGUAGGGGAGCGUUCCAUGAACGGAGAAGUACGACCGAAAGGACGUGUGGAGAUCAUGGAAGAGAGAAUGCCGGUGUGAGUAGCGGAACGUGGGUGAGAAUCCCACGCACCGAAAACCCAAGGUUUCCAGAGGAAGGUUCGUCCGCUCUGGGUAAGUCGGGACCUAAGGCGAGGCCGAAAGGCGUAGUCGAUGGACAACAGGUAGAGAUUCCUGUACCCGUAUAUAUGUGAAGGAAUGACGGAGAGAGGAAGCUGCAGCCAGCGGCUGGAAGAGCUGGUGCAAGCGAGAUAUCGGGAUGGCAGGCAAAUCCACCAUCCGAAACGAGAAGGCGUGAAGCGUACGGAAAGCUACGGCGAGUACGGAAGGCAGUGGAGGAACUUCCAAGAAAAGUUUCUAACGUAAAGUAUAUAUGGCCCGUACCGAAAAUGGACACACAUGGGUGAGGAGAGAAUCCUAAGGUGAGCGAGAGAACUAUAGCUAAGGAACUCUGCAAAAUGACUCCGUAACUUAGGGAGAAGGAGUGCUCAUAGAGAUAUGAGCCGCAGUGAAACGGCCCAAGCGACUGUUUACCAAAAACACAGCUCUCUGCUAAGCCGCAAGGCGAAGUAUAGGGGGUGACGCCUGCCCGGUGCUGGAAGGUUAAGGGGAGGGGUUAACGCAAGUGAAGCCCUGAACUGAAGCCCCAGUAAACGGCGGCCGUAACUAUAACGGUCCUAAGGUAGCGAAAUUCCUUGUCAGGUAAGUUCUGACCCGCACGAAAGGCGUAACGAUUUGGGCGCUGUCUCAGCUGUAGACUCGGUGAAGUCUUAGUACCUGUGAAGAUGCAGGUUACCCGCGACUAGACGGAAAGACCCCAUGGAGCUUCACUGCAGGUUGAUAUUGGGAUUUGAUGCAGCAUGUACAGGAUAGGUAGGAGGCAAAGAGAUGGAUACGCCAGUAUUCAAGGAGCCGCUGUUGGGAUACUACCCCUGUUGUAUUGGAUUUCUAACCGGACGACGUAGAGCCGUUGACGGGACAGUGUCAGUCGGGCAGUUUGACUGGGGCGGUCGCCUCCCAAAGAGUAACGGAGGCGCCCAAAGAUACCCUCAGCUUGGAUGGAAACCAAGCGCAGAGUGCAAAGGCAAAAGGGUGUUUGACUGCGAGACCCACAAGUCGAGCAGGGACGAAAGUCGGGCUUAGUGAUCCGGCGGUGCUGAAUGGAAAGGCCGUCGCUCAACGGAUAAAAGCUACCCUGGGGAUAACAGGCUGAUCUCCCCCAAGAGUCCACAUCGACGGGGAGGUUUGGCACCUCGAUGUCGGCUCAUCGCAUCCUGGGGCUGUAUUCGGUCCCAAGGGUUUGGCUGUUCGCCAAUUAAAGCGGUACGCGAGCUGGGUUCAGAACGUCGUGAGACAGUUCGGUCCCUAUCUGUCGUGGGCGCAGGAAAUUUGAGAAGAGCUGUCCUCAGUACGAGAGGACCGGGAUGGACGCAUCAAUGGUGGACCAGUUGUCACGCCAGUGGCAUAGCUGGGUAGCUAAAUGCGGAAGGGAUAAACGCUGAAGGCAUCUAAGUGUGAAACCCACUUCAAGAUGAGAUUUCCCAUUGCGCAAGCAAGUAAGACCCCUUAAAGACGAUAAGGUAGAUAGGUCAGGAGUGUAAGCAUGGUGACAUGUUAAGCGGACUGAUACUAAUAGGUCGAGGGCUUGACCGA